Molecule: long non-coding RNA, 356 nt
Organism: Capsicum annuum
Lineage: Eukaryota; Viridiplantae; Streptophyta; Magnoliopsida; Solanales; Solanaceae
Exons: 3
Source: RefSeq, a predicted model, not a curated record
AAGUUUCAUCUGUCUGCUUUUUUAUUUGUGAAACCAAAAAUAACACCAUCGUUAUUUUUUUCUCCGACCUUUUCUUUCCGGUUGGAUUUUGGUUCUAAUUCCUCUUAUGAUGUUUAGCUUCCAUCUUACUCGUUACAUCUGAAUUCAGCAGAAUGUGCCUGCACACGUCCAUCUAUUCCAAGGAAAACAAUAGAAAAUUCUUUAAUUUGAUUAAAAAUCUCUGUGUAAGUGAUUAGAAGGUUUUGUGGAGCGGUGAUACGUGGAUGAUAUGAAUGUUUCCUUCUGCAGAAAUGAUUUAUCAUGGCAGUUUAACCUUAUCAAAAUUUGAGGAGGAAUCAUUCAUGAAAAAGGUAAUU